Molecule: non-coding RNA, 205 nt
Organism: Oryza glaberrima (African rice)
Lineage: Eukaryota; Viridiplantae; Streptophyta; Magnoliopsida; Poales; Poaceae
Source: Rfam
AAUGAAUACAGUUUUAAGUUGUUUAUGCCAUAUGUUUGAUCGUCCGUUUUAUUUAAAAAAAAUAUGAUUAGUAUUUUUUAUUGUUAUUAGAUGAUAAAAUAUAAAUAUUACUUUAUAUGUGACUAUUUUUUAAAUUUUUUUUAUAAAUAUUUCAAAUAAGACGGACGGUUAAAUGUUGACAUAGAAAUCCACGACUAGACUUAAA